RNAcentral lists this ribosomal RNA (2165 nucleotides) under human gut metagenome. RNAcentral describes it as "bacterial LSU rRNA". It matches the Rfam family "Bacterial large subunit ribosomal RNA", at positions 252 to 2494 of the family's 2925-position model. The record is from RNAcentral.
AGCGAACGCGGAAGAGGCCAAACCGGAGGUAGCAAUAUUUCCGGGGUUAGGACUGCAAUAUGUAACUUUAAUCUUUAACUGAAUGCUUUGGGAAGAGCAGCAAUAUAGGGUGAUAGCCCCGUAAGUGAAAAGGAUUGAGUGCUAGCAGUAUCCAGAGUACCAGCGGACACGUGAAACCCGCUGGGAAGAUGGGGGGACCAUCCUCCAAGCCUAAAUACUACUCAGUGACCGAUAGUGGAGCAGUACCGUGAGGGAAAGGUGAAAAGUACCCCGGGAGGGGAGUGAAAGAGAACCUGAAACCUUGUGCCUACAAGCACCGAGAGCACGUUAAAGUGUGAUCGGGUACUUUUUGUAGAACGGUCCGGCGAGUUAAUAUUUGCAGCGAGGUUAAGGAACUGGAGUUCCGGAGCCGCAGCGAGAGCGAGUCUGAAAAGGGCGUAUGAAGUUGCAGGUAUUAGACCCGAAACCGGGUGACCUAUCCAUGAGCAGGCUGAAGCGGUGGUAAGACACCGUGGAGGGCCGCACCCACGUCUGUUGAAAAAGCCGGGGAUGACUUGUGGAUAGCGGAGAAAUUCCAAUCGAACUCGGAGAUAGCUGGUUCUCCCCGAAAUAGCUUUAGGGCUAGCGUUAUUUUAGAUUACCGGAGGUAAAGCACUGAAUGGUCUAGGGGCCGCGAGGUUACCAAAGCCUAUCAAACUCUGAAUGCCGGAUAAUUGAUGAAUAGCAGUCAGACUGUGUGAGAUAAGUCUCAUAGUCAAAAGGGAAACAGCCCAGAUCUACAGCUAAGGUCCCAAAUGAACACUAAGUGGAAAAUGAUGUGAAACUGCGAAGACAACCAGGAUGUUGGCUUAGAAGCAGCCACUCAUUCAAAGAGUGCGUAAUAGCUCACUGGUCGAGUGAUUUUGCGCAGAAAAUUUAACGGGGCUAAGUAUUCAACCGAAGCUUAGGCAGUAUUAAAUACUGGGUAGGGGAGCGUCGUAUGCGGGGUGAAGUCAGAGUGGAAACACUGGUGGACUGCAUACGAGUGAGAAUGCCGGAAUAAGUAGCGAGAAUUAUGUGAGAAUCAUAAUGGCCGAAAAUCUAAGGUUUCUUGGGGAAGGUUCGUCCGCCCAAGGUUAGUCGGGAGCUAAGCUCAGGCCGAAAGGCGUAGGCGAUGCACAUACGGUUGAUAUUCCGUAACCACCGAAAGCGUUAAACCAGAGGACACAUUCAUUAAUUCUAACCCGGGCGAUGGUUGCCCCGGGCGUAAGGGACCGAAAUAAUAGUAGGGAAGUAGAAGGCGUGAGUGGCGAGAAAAGUCUGGCGUAUUGCUCAGGUGCCCGUACCGCAAACCGACACAGGUAGAUGGGAUGAGUAUUCUAAGGCCAACGGGAGAAGGGUUGUUAAGGAACUCGGCAAAUUGGCCCCGUAACUUCGGAAUAAGGGGCGCCUCUGAGAAGAGGCCGCAGUGAAAAGGCCCAAGCGACUGUUUAGCAAAAACACAGCUCUCUGCUAAAUCGAAAGAUGACGUAUAGGGGGUGACGCCUGCCCGGUGCUGGAAGGUUACGAGGAGGGCUUAGGAGCAAUCCGAAGGUCUGAAUUUAAGCCCCAGUAAACGGCGGCCGUAACUAUAACGGUCCUAAGGUAGCGAAAUUCCUUGUCAGGUAAGUUCUGACCCGCACGAAUGGCGUAACGAUUUGGGCACUGUCUCAACAGCCAACCCGGCGAAAUUGUAGUACCGGUGAAGAUGCCGGUUUCCCGCAACUAGACGGAAAGACCCCAUGGAGCUUCACUGUAGCUUGAUACUGGACUUCGAUAUUCCAUGUACAGGAUAGGUGGGAGGCUUGGAAGCAUGUGCGCCAGCAUAUGUGGAGCCGCCCUUGGGAUACCACUCUUGGGAUAUUGGAGUUCUAACCUGCGGCCAUGAAUCUGGUCGGGGGACACUGUCAGGUGGGCAGUUUGACUGGGGCGGUCGCCUCCAAAAGAGUAACGGAGGCGCUCAAAGGUUGGCUCAGCAUGGACGGAAACCAUGCUCUUGAGUGUAAACGCAAAAGCCAGCCUAACUGCGAGACUGACGGGUCGAGCAGUAACGAAAGUUGGAGUUAGUGAUCCGGCGGUAUGUGAGUGGAAAUGCCGUCGCUCAACGGAUAAAAGCUACCCUGGGGAUAACAGGCUGAUCUCCCCCA